Molecule: ribosomal RNA, 1287 nt
Filed under: Stylonychia lemnae
Lineage: Eukaryota; Ciliophora; Spirotrichea; Sporadotrichida; Oxytrichidae
Description: eukaryotic LSU rRNA
Rfam family: Eukaryotic large subunit ribosomal RNA (bases 508-1287)
Source: RNAcentral
GUCGUAACAAGGUUUCCGUAGGUGAACCUGCGGAAGGAUCAUUACACAAAUCGAUGCAACUCAACCAAGCCUUUAGUUGGAGAGCAGCGCCUCGGUGCAGCUCCCCAGCAACACAAAACUAAAACCAAAAGGAGCCUAACUAAGCUCAAACACUAAGACCAAAUUCUCAACGAUGGAUGUCUUGGUUCCCAUAACGAUGAAGAACGCAGCGAAGUGCGAUAGGCAGUGCGAAUUGCAGAACCGUGAGUCAUCAGAUUUUUGAACGCAACUGGCACCGCACGGCCUUCGGCCGUCGGUACGCCUGGUCCAGUGUUUCGUUAUCUCAUGAACAAAAUCUUAAUGCGAGUGAUGCCCUUCUCUCGUCAAGAACGAAAGCACUCUGUGCUCUGCGAGCAGCCUUCGGGUUGCACUCAAUGCAGCAGUCACAUUGCUUACAGUGUGAACUCAUUGAGAGUGGACGCAGCGCGGCAACAGCUGCAAGUGCUUAGUCAUUUCAACUUAACAAUAGUAUCUGGGCUCAGGUGGGACUACCCGCUGAACUUAAGCAUAUCACUAAGCGGAGGAAAAGAAACUAACUAGGAUGGCCUUAGUAAGGGCGACUGAAGUGGCCAAAGCCCAAGAUGGUAAUCUCAGUGUUUCACACUGCGAGUUGUAAUCUUGAGAGGCUCAACUUAAUGGAUUGUGGCGCAGAAGUGAUCUGGAACGGUCCGCCAAAGAGGGUGACAGCCCCGUACGUGGUGCGGCGAUCUAACUAGUUGACUAUCUAAGAGUCGGGUUGUUUUGUAUUGCAGCCCUAAGUGGGAGAUAAACUUCUUCUAAGGCUAAAUAUAUAUGGGAAACCGAUAGCGAACAAGUACUGUGAAGGAAAGAUGAAAAGCACUUUGGAAAGAGAGUCAAAAGACCUGAAAUCGUUGAGACGGAAGCGGUAGAGAUGUAUACUUCGCUGCCACGCGGGGCUAACUUGUGUGGUUGCGUGAGGCCGGAUGGGGUGGCGUCGUCGCAGAGGCUUAGCAAGACCGCCUUCGGGCAUCCCUUGUUUCUGUCGGUGACGGUGCCGCCUGAGGGGCUUUGUGCGAUCCGGCCAAAAUGGUCUUUACCGACUCGUCUUGAAACACGAACCAAGGAGUCUAACGUACACGCGAGUAUGCCGGUGGAGAAACCGUCAUGCGUAAUGAAAGUGAUUGGUGCCAAGCGCAAGCAGCAGCAUCGACCGACCAUGAUCCUCUGGAGAAAGGUUUGAGUAUGAGCGUGUCCGCUAGGACCCGAAAGAUGGUGAACUAUGCGUGA